GAUGAACACUGGCGGCGUGCCUAAUACAUGCAAGUCGAGCGAACAGACGAGGAGCUUGCUCCUCUGACGUUAGCGGCGGACGGGUGAGUAACACGUGGAUAACCUACCUAUAAGACUGGGAUAACUUCGGGAAACCGGAGCUAAUACCGGAUAAUAUAUUGAACCGCAUGGUUCAAUAGUGAAAGACGGUUUUGCUGUCACUUAUAGAUGGAUCCGCGCCGCAUUAGCUAGUUGGUAAGGUAACGGCUUACCAAGGCAACGAUGCGUAGCCGACCUGAGAGGGUGAUCGGCCACACUGGAACUGAGACACGGUCCAGACUCCUACGGGAGGCAGCAGUAGGGAAUCUUCCGCAAUGGGCGAAAGCCUGACGGAGCAACGCCGCGUGAGUGAUGAAGGUCUUCGGAUCGUAAAACUCUGUUAUUAGGGAAGAACAAAUGUGUAAGUAACUAUGCACGUCUUGACGGUACCUAAUCAGAAAGCCACGGCUAACUACGUG
This 497-nucleotide ribosomal RNA is filed under the name uncultured bacterium. Its description in RNAcentral is "partial 16S ribosomal RNA". It matches the Rfam family "Bacterial small subunit ribosomal RNA", at positions 28 to 507 of the family's 1533-position model. The record is from RNAcentral.